This is a long non-coding RNA of Numida meleagris (helmeted guineafowl), 1795 nucleotides long. NCBI's taxonomy places the organism in Eukaryota, Metazoa, Chordata, Aves, Galliformes, Numididae. The record is from Ensembl.
AUUCACUAACAGGACACCUUCAGCAUCUCGGUUAAACGCAGGACGGCACAUACAGGUGUGACAGCACAACCCGCACAGCAGAAGCAGGCAGGUAAAGGGGACCGUCUGCAUCAGCUUCAUUAAACAAGGCACAGCAACGCUCACUGUUGCUUUAACUCUAACGAAAGCCUGCUCAAUUCAAGGUACCCAAGCUGCCCCACGUCCUGCGUUCAGCCUUCUCCCCUCCCGCCGCGCCUGCCAACAGGCCUCCCCGCCAAAGCCCAGGACAAGAGCGGUCCGGGGCAGGACGAGGUUCCGGCUGCGCCAGUCGCGGAGGAACAGGCCGAGAAGAUCCUGGCCUGGCCGCGCCUCACCGCCCGGUACCUGCGGGCCCCUGAAAUCCGCUGCCGCCUCCGCCGCUCCUCUUCCGCUCCGGAGCACUUUUCCGUGCGUCCCGCGCGCCGCCGCCAGCCCAGCACUGCGCAGGCGCCGCGCCGCCGAUUGGCCGCCGGCCGCUCCUCCCCCUGCUCUUUUUCUCCCUCCUCCCGGCCCGCUGUCCGGCUCUUCUCUGCCCCGGGAGGUACCGCCCGCCUUCUCCCGCCCGCCUCCUGUCCCGCCCUGGGGCGAAGCACUGCCCGCGAGGCGGCUCCUGGCGGCCGGGGGCCGGCCUUGUUCCUGCUGGCUGCGCGUUGGUGCCGCUGUUUGCGUGAUGAAAGGAUGCGAUCUAUCCCGUGCAGAGAGGGAAAUGAGGGGGAGGGGAAGAAAGUCUCCAAAACCAACCCGUCGCGGUACUGGUCUCUUAGCCUGUAAGGCUUGUGCAUGAUGUAUGUGAGAACGAUUUCCAGCAGAGAAGCUUAUCACAGAUCUACCUAAAAGUAACAAAAAAAAAUAGAGUAGGGUAAGCAGAGAAGAAGCAAAGGAUUAAAGGAUAAAAACAGGACCGUGGAAGCUUGAACAGAAAGCACCAGUCUAGAUCAGAAGGAAGCUUGAACAGAAAGCAGCGGUCAAGAACAGAGCUGUCAUUUGACUGAUAAAUCAUUCUCUUAAUCAGCUGUGCCAGCCAAAGAAGGCCUGAGUAAGCAGCUUCAAAUGAAUAAGCCUUAACUGAUUUUUUUUUGUUUCCAUUCCUCUGUCACAUACCUAAUUAAAAUUUACAUUUUUAAUUGCGCUAUUUUCUAAUAGAAUGAUAGGAAUCCUUGUCUGGGAGUUUUCUUAGCAUGAAAAUAAGUCCUAGAACUGUGAAAAGCUUUAAGCAGCUUCUAUUCUACAUAGAGUUUAGAUCUCCUUUUAAAUGUGCUAGAUUUCAUUGAGUUUUUAGGUUUCUUCACUGAGUUCACGUAAGGGAACAAGUUAAGAUACGUAAUGCAUGCACCUUUCCAGAUCAGCAAGGUCGCUCUCACUCAUCCUUCACCUCUAUUUGCAGACAAAUAUCAAAGAUGCCUUUGAGGUUUCAGUCUCAUAUCUUCUAAAGAAUGAUGAUAUCAGUUUCACAGCCUGAGAAGAGUACCUAGGAAUCUCCUUUUCCUUCCCUAUUUCCCUACAAAAGUGAGACUGAAGCAGAAAUGAGACUUGAGGCUGAAAUUAAAAAGAAGAAGGAUAAAAUGGAGAUGGAGGUAGAAGUGAAAAUACAGUAUUAUAAGUUGUAACAGGGUUAUAGUAAAAACAAGACAAAACCUCAAACUUUGAUUAAUCUUUGAACUGCUUGAAUGAGUUGGUCCAAAACAUUGCUUUUCAUUUUUUUUGUUGUUUUUGUUUUGAAUACAGAUGUGAGAUAUAUAUAUAUAAAUAAAUCUGCUCAUAUUUACUUUAAUGUACA